Non-coding RNA from Punica granatum (pomegranate), 792 nucleotides. The record is from RefSeq and is a predicted model, not a curated record. NCBI's taxonomy places the organism in Eukaryota, Viridiplantae, Streptophyta, Magnoliopsida, Myrtales, Lythraceae.
AAGGAACCAGUGAAAUUCGGUUCCGGUUCCGGUUCCAACCUAUAGGGUACCCAGAACUGGAACCGGAACCGGUAUCCGGAACCGGAUGGUAAUUACUAAAACAAAAAAGAAAAGAAGGUAAAGUUAUUCUCAGUCUCAGUCGGGAAGACAGGAAGGAAGGAAUGCUGCUCAGCUUUCGUCUCCGCUGUAACCUAAAUCGGCUUUCGUCUUCAAAUCUCCACUCCAACUCAUCUCCGUCGUCAGUCGCCUCAAGUCUUCGACUCUCCACUCCAGCUACUUUCUGUCGCUCGCCAGCCUCGCCUCUUGUCUCCGAGUGUGCUCAUAAUCCCAUUUCCCGAUGAGCUUCUGUUCUGCCUCCUCUCCGUCGCUCUCGUUUUCGACUCUCGACUUCGGCCUCUCUCCGUCGCUCUCGUCUCCGACUCUCCUUCAAGCUCUCUUUCCCGCUCCUCUCCGUCGCUUGCCUCUCGUCUCCGACUCUCCUUGAAGCCCUCUUUCCCGCAACGAGGGAUAUUGAUGAAUUCGACAAUCCAGUAGACAAAGUUGGUCAGGGACUUCACAAUUCCCUUCCCCUGCCUAUCAUAUUAGAUCCUCUAAGUUAUCUUUUUUUAGUCCUGUAUUUUUUCUUAAGAUUAAAGUGUGAUUUGUCUGCUUUUGGAUAGAUAAACUUUUUAGUUCAUGGACCGUAUUAGUCCAUGAUGGACGUAUUGUGAGGAAAUAUUACAUUUUGUUGUGUGAGAUCGUAUUAUGGAUAUUUAGUUUUGUGGAUGGAUUAAUGAGACAUAUUACUUUUUA